This 484-nucleotide ribosomal RNA is filed under the name uncultured bacterium. RNAcentral's name for it is "partial 16S ribosomal RNA". It matches the Rfam family "Bacterial small subunit ribosomal RNA", at positions 30 to 507 of the family's 1533-position model. The record is from RNAcentral.
AUUGAACGCUGGCGGCAGGCCUAACACAUGCAAGUCGAGCGGAUGAAGGGAGCUUGCUCCUGGAUUCAGCGGCGGACGGGUGAGUAAUGCCUAGGAAUCUGCCUGGUAGUGGGGGAUAACGUCCGGAAACGGGCGCUAAUACCGCAUACGUCCUGAGGGAGAAAGUGGGGGAUCUUCGGACCUCACGCUAUCAGAUGAGCCUAGGUCGGAUUAGCUAGUUGGUGGGGUAAAGGCCUACCAAGGCGACGAUCCGUAACUGGUCUGAGAGGAUGAUCAGUCACACUGGAACUGAGACACGGUCCAGACUCCUACGGGAGGCAGCAGUGGGGAGUAUUGGACAAUGGGCGAAAGCCUGAUCCAGCCAUGCCGCGUGUGUGAAGAAGGUCUUCGGAUUGUAAAGCACUUUAAGCUGGGAGGAAGGGCAGUAAGUUAAUACCUUGCUGUUUUGACGUUACCAACAGAAUAAGCACCGGCUAACUUCGUG